AAGUCGUAACAAGGUUUCCGUAGGUGAACCUGCGGAAGGAUCAUUAACAAAUCCAAAACACUCGUCUUGGUCAUGCGGGGUUAGCCCGGUCCUAGUGUGUGGGCGCUUUGGGACGUGUGUCCCUCCCUCAUCCUUAGAAUGGGUGAGAGGGGAGCAUACCUCUUGGGGUGCCCACAUGGGAGGUCACGUUCUGCCUUUCAUGAACCGUAUAAAGACAAAACAUAUACAAACAUUGACAACCAAACCAAAAUAUUUAUUGAUUAAAUGUUUCACAAACAACUUUUAACAAUGGAUCUCUUGGCUCUU
This 306-nucleotide unclassified non-coding RNA is filed under the name fungal sp. RNAcentral's name for it is "partial internal transcribed spacer region". The stretch from base 1 to 46 matches the Rfam family "Eukaryotic small subunit ribosomal RNA", at positions 1786 to 1831 of the family's 1831-position model. The record is from RNAcentral. Lineage: Eukaryota; Fungi.